ACUUGAGAUCAUUACUCACCUGCUGGAUCACCGCUGCCGCUCUUCGGAGCCUUCCCACGCUCCACCCUUCACCAGCUUCCUCGCAGGCUCAAGACCUCUCUCUUUUGGCACCCUCCCCUGGCCUGACUACCUCGGAUUUCAAAUCUUGCCUGGUCCCUCGCUACCUGCCUUCGCUCCUCAUGCCUGCCUCUCUCUCCAGUUAACUGCAUUCAUAUGUUCAGCUGAGCUCAGCCUUGUAUUUAAAUAAAGUUUAUUUCUAUGUUUAUAUUUCUUUAAAGUGAGUAAGAGCUCAUUUAAGUUAGUUCAUGUGCAAUUUCUCUAAGCAAAUAAAGAAUCUCAAAAUGCA
Oreochromis niloticus (Nile tilapia) is the source of this 346-nucleotide long non-coding RNA. RefSeq lists it as uncharacterized. The transcript has 2 exons. The record is from RefSeq and is a predicted model, not a curated record. Lineage: Eukaryota; Metazoa; Chordata; Actinopteri; Cichliformes; Cichlidae.